RNAcentral lists this ribosomal RNA (545 nucleotides) under uncultured bacterium. RNAcentral describes it as "bacterial SSU rRNA". It matches the Rfam family "Bacterial small subunit ribosomal RNA", at positions 8 to 546 of the family's 1533-position model. The record is from RNAcentral.
AGAGUUUGAUCAUGGCUCAGGAUGAACGCUAGCGACAGGCUUAACACAUGCAAGUCGAGGGGCAGCGAGGGAGUGGCAACACUUCUGUCGGCGACCGGCGCACGGGUGAGUAACGCGUAUGCAACCUGCCCUUCACAGGGGGAUAACCGGGAGAAAUUCCGACUAAUACCGCAUACGUCCUCCGGGGGCAUCCCCGGGGGAUGAAAGAGUUAUCGGUGAAGGAUGGGCAUGCGUGAUAUUAGGUAGUUGGCGGGGCAACGGCCCACCAAGCCCACGAUAUCUAGGGGUUCUGAGAGGAAGGUCCCCCACAUUGGUACUGAGACACGGACCAAACUCCUACGGGAGGCAGCAGUGAGGAAUAUUGGUCAAUGGACGAGAGUCUGAACCAGCCAAGUCGCGUGAAGGAAGACGGAUCUAUGGUUUGUAAACUUCUUUAGUGCGGGAACAAAGCGGCGUCGUGACGCCGGAUGAGUGUACCGCAAGAAUAAGCAUCGGCUAACUCCGUGCCAGCAGCCGCGGUAAUACGGAGGAUGCGAGCGUUAUCC